RNAcentral lists this ribosomal RNA (491 nucleotides) under uncultured bacterium. RNAcentral describes it as "partial 16S ribosomal RNA". It matches the Rfam family "Bacterial small subunit ribosomal RNA", at positions 29 to 506 of the family's 1533-position model. The record is from RNAcentral.
AGUGAACGCUGGCGGUAGGCCUAACACAUGCAAGUCGAACGGCAGCACAGUAAGAGCUUGCUCUUACGGGUGGCGAGUGGCGGACGGGUGAGGAAUACAUCGGAAUCUACUUUUUCGUGGGGGAUAACGUAGGGAAACUUACGCUAAUACCGCAUACGACCUACGGGUGAAAGCAGGGGAUCUUCGGACCUUGCGCGAUUGAAUGAGCCGAUGUCGGAUUAGCUAGUUGGCGGGGUAAAGGCCCACCAAGGCGACGAUCCGUAGCUGGUCUGAGAGGAUGAUCAGCCACACUGGAAAUGAGACACGGUCCAGACUCCUACGGGAGGCAGCAGUGGGGAAUAUUGGACAAGGGGCGCAAGCCUGAUCCAGCCAUACCGCGUGGGUGAAGAAGGCCUUCGGGUUGUAAAGCCCUUUUGUUGGGAAAGAAAAGCAGCAGGUUAAUACCCCGCUGUUCUGACGGUACCCAAAGAAUAAGCACCGGCUAACUUCGU